Molecule: ribosomal RNA, 462 nt
Filed under: uncultured bacterium
Lineage: Bacteria
Description: partial 16S ribosomal RNA
Rfam family: Bacterial small subunit ribosomal RNA
Source: RNAcentral
GACGAACGCUGGCGGCGUGCCUAACACAUGCAAGUCGAACGGAAAGGCCCUUCGGGGUACUCGAGUGGCGAACGGGUGAGUAACACGUGGGUGAUCUGCCCUGCACUUUGGGAUAAGCCUGGGAAACUGGGUCUAAUACCGAAUAGGACCACGCGCUUCAUGGUGUGUGGUGGAAAGCUUUUGCGGUGUGGGAUGGGCCCGCGGCCUAUCAGCUUGUUGGUGGGGUAAUGGCCUACCAAGGCGACGACGGGUAGCCGGCCUGAGAGGGUGACCGGCCACACUGGGACUGAGAUACGGCCCAGACUCCUACGGGAGGCAGCAGUGGGGAAUAUUGCACAAUGGGCGCAAGCCUGAUGCAGCGACGCCGCGUGGGGGAUGACGGCCUUCGGGUUGUAAACCUCUUUCAAUAGGGACGAAGCGCAAGUGACGGUACCUAUAGAAGAAGCACCGGCCAACUACGUG